This 484-nucleotide ribosomal RNA is filed under the name uncultured bacterium. RNAcentral describes it as "partial 16S ribosomal RNA". It matches the Rfam family "Bacterial small subunit ribosomal RNA", at positions 29 to 523 of the family's 1533-position model. The record is from RNAcentral.
AGUGAACGCUGGCGGCGUGCUUAACACAUGCAAGUCGAACGAGAACGGGCUAUAGCUUGCUAUAGUUGUCAGCUAAGUGGCGCACGGGUGAGUAAUGUAUAGGUAAUAUGCCUCUUGCUAAGGGAUAACAAAUGGAAACGUUUGCUAAUACCUUAUACUCCUUAUUAACAGAAGUUAAUAAGGGAAAGAUUUAUUGGUAAGAGAUUAGCCUGUAUUGUAUCAGUUAGUUGGUGGGGUAAUGGCUUACCAAGACUAUGACACAUAACUGGUUUGAGAGGAUGAUCAGUCACACUGGAACUGAGACACGGUCCAGACUCCUACGGGAGGCAGCAGUGGGGAAUAUUGCACAAUGGACGAAAGUCUGAUGCAGCAACGCCGCGUGGAGGAUGACACAUUUCGGUGCGUAAACUCCUUUUAUAUGAGAAGAUAAUGACGGUAUUAUAUGAAUAAGCACCGGCUAACUCCGUGCCAGCAGCCGCCGUAA